GCUUACGACCACACCGGCCUGAGUACGCCUGAUCUCGUCUGAUCUCGGAAGCUAAGCAGGGUCGGGCCUGGUUAGUACUAUUGGAUGGAGACCGCCUGGGAAUACCAGGUGCUGUAAGCU
This 120-nucleotide ribosomal RNA is filed under the name Oncorhynchus kisutch (coho salmon). The record is from RNAcentral. Lineage: Eukaryota; Metazoa; Chordata; Actinopteri; Salmoniformes; Salmonidae.